AUUGAACGCUGGCGGCAUGCCUUACACAUGCAAGUCGAACGGCAGCACGGGUGCUUGCACCUGGAGGCGAGUGGCGAACGGGUGAGUAAUACAUCGGAACAUGUCCUGUAGUGGGGGAUAGCCCGGCGAAAGCCGGAUUAAUACCGCAUACGAACUACGGAUGAAAGCGGGGGACCUUCGGGCCUCGCGCUAUAGGGUUGGCCGAUGGCUGAUUAGUUAGUUGGGGGGGUAAAGGCCUACCAAGGCGACGAUCAGUAGCUGGUCGGAGAGGACGACCGGCCACACUAGAACUGAGACACGGCCCAGACUCCUGCGGGAGGCAGCAGUGGGGAAUGUUGGGCAAUGGGGGAAAGCCUGAUCCAGCAAUGCCGCGUGUGUGAAGAAGGCCUUCGGGUUGUAAAGCACUUUUGUCCGGAAAGAAAUCCUUGGCCCUAAUACGGUCGGGGGAUGACGGUACCGGAAGAAUAAGCACCGGCUAACUACGUG
RNAcentral lists this ribosomal RNA (486 nucleotides) under uncultured bacterium. Its description in RNAcentral is "partial 16S ribosomal RNA". It matches the Rfam family "Bacterial small subunit ribosomal RNA", at positions 29 to 507 of the family's 1533-position model. The record is from RNAcentral.